Molecule: ribosomal RNA, 450 nt
Filed under: uncultured Fibrobacter sp.
Lineage: Bacteria; Pseudomonadati; Fibrobacterota; Fibrobacteria; Fibrobacterales; Fibrobacteraceae
Description: bacterial SSU rRNA
Rfam family: Bacterial small subunit ribosomal RNA
Source: RNAcentral
ACGGAAGGCAGCAGUAGGGAAUAUUGCACAAUGGGGGAAACCCUGAUGCAGCAACGCCACGUGUGGGAAGAAGCAUUUCGGUGUGUAAACCACUGUCGUGAGGGAAUAAUGUUGCGUUUCGGCGCAAUUGAAUGUACCUCGAAAGGAAGCACCGGCAAACUUCGUGCCAGCAGCCGCGGUAAUACGAGGGGUGCAAGCGUUGUUCGGAAUCACUGGGCGUAAAGGGAGCGUAGGCGGAGACGCAAGCAGUCUGUACAAUACCGGGGCCCAACCCCGGACCUGCAGACUGGACUGUGUCUCUUGGAUAGUUCAGGGGCAGGCGGAAUUCCUGGUGUAGCGGUGGAAUGCGUAGAGAUCAGGAAGAACACCGAUGGCGAAGGCAGCCUGCUGGGGACUCAUCGACGCUGAGGCUCGAAAGUGCGGGUAGCAAACAGGAUUAGAUACUCGGUA